ACGACCCUAGGUCAGGCGGGAUCACCCGCUGAGUUUAAGUGUAUCAAUAAGCAGAGGAAAAGAAACUUACCAGGAUUCCCCUAGUAACGGUAAGCGAAUCGAGAAGAGCCCAGCUUGAGAAUCGGGUGCCCCGACGUUCGAAUUGUAGUCUGGAGAAGUGUCCUCAGCGGCGGAUCGGGCCCAAGUCCCCUAAAAAAGGGCACCAAAGAGGGUGAGAGCCCCGUUGUGCCCGGACCUUGUCGCACCAUGAGGCGCUGUCCACAAGUCAGGUUGUUUGGGAAUGCAGCCCCAAUCGGGUGAUAAAUUCUGUCCAAGGCUAAAUACGGGCGAGAGACCGAUAGCAAACAAGUACCACAAGGGAAAGAUGAAAAGGACUUUGAAAAUAGAGUCAAAGAGUGCUUGAAAUUGUCGGAAGGGAAGCGGAUGGGGGCCGAUGAUGCGCCCCGAUCGGAUGUGGAACGGUGAGAGCCGAUUCAUCGAUCGGAUUGGGGCAUGGAUCGACACGGGUCACGGCAGUGACCCAAGCCCGGGCUUUCAAUGUGCCCGCAGAGAUGUGUUCACCACGAUCGUGGAAUGUAGCACGCACCAUCUCGACGUGCCCCGACACCAGCAUGCUCCAGGCUUCGGCCUGCAGGCUUCCCAUCUGACCCGUCUUGAAACCCAGACCAAGGUGUCUGACAUGCGUGCGAGUCAACGGGCCAGGAAACCUGUAAGGCACAAGGAAGCUGAUUGGCGGGAUCCCUGUGGGUGCACUACCGAUCGACCUUGAUCUUUUGAGAAGGGUUCGAGUGCGAGCAUGCCAGUCGAGACUCGAAAGGUGGUGAACUAUGCCUGAGUGGGGUAAAGCCAGAGGAAACUCUGAUGGAGGCCCACAGUGAUACUGACGUGCAACUCGUUCGUCUGACUUGGGUAUAGGGGCGAAAGACUAAUCGAACCGUCUAGUAGCUGGUUCCCUCCGAAGUUUCCCUCAAGAUAGUUGGAGCCCCGUCGAGUUCUAUCGGGUAAAGCCAAUGACUAGAGGCAUCAGGGGUGCAACCCUCGACCUAUUCUCAAACUUUAAGUAGGUAGGAUGGUGCGACUGCUUUGUUGAGCCGUGCCACGGAAUCGAGAGCUCCAAGUGGGCCAUUUUUGGUAAGCAAAACUGGCGAUGCGGGAUGAACCAAAAGUCGGGUUAUAGUGCCCAACUGCGCACUAACCAGGAACCCACAAAGGGUGUUGGUCGAUUAAGAUAGCAGAACGGUGGUCAUGGAAGUCAAAAUCUGCUAAGAGUGUUAACAACUCACCUGCGAAUCAACAAGCCCCGAAAAUGGAUGACGCUUAAGCGCAUGACCUAUACCGAUCGUUGGGCAGAGCCAGGCCCCGAUGAGUAGGAAGGCAUGACGGUUGCCGAAAAACUCGAGGCGCGAAGCCCAGGCGGAGUGACCGUCAAUGCAGAUCUUGGUGGUAGUAGAAAAUAUUCAAAUGACAACUUUGAAGGCCGAAAAGGGAAAGGUUCCAUGUGAACGACACUUGACAUGGGUUAGUCGAUCUUAAGAGACGGGGAAGCCCGUCCGAUAGCACGUCCCGCACGAGCUUCAAAAGGGAAUCGGGUUAAAUUCUGAAUCGGGAUACGAUGGCUGACGGCAACGUAGGGAGUCUGAGACGUCGACGGGGGCCUCAGAAAGAGUUAUCUUUUUUGUUUAACGACCUGCCCACCCUAAAAAUGGCUUAGUCGGAGGUAAGGUCCAGCGACCGAAAGAGCACCACACACCGCAUGGUGUCCGGUGCGCCCCCGAUGGCCCUUGAAAAUCUAGAGGAUCGAGUGCCAUCUGUGCCCGGUCGUACUCAUAACCGCAUCAGCUCUCCAAGGUGAACAGCCUCUGGUCGAUGGAACAAUGUAGGCAAGGGAAGUCGAGAAAAUGGAUCCGUAACCUCAGGAAAAGGAUUGGCUCUGAGGGCUAGGCAUGGGGGUCCCAGUCCCGAACCUGUCAGCUAUCGGUGCACUACUCGAGCUGCUCCUGCUGUGAGAACGGGUUGCCACGUGCCGAUCGGGGGACAGACUAGGAACGGCUCCCUCGAAGGCCUUCCCCAGGUGAUGAACAGUCGACUCAAAACUAGUACGGACAAGGGGAAUUCGACUGUUGAAUUAAAACAAAGCAUUGCGAUGGUCCUUGCGGAUUCUCACGCAAUGUGAUUUCUGCCCAGUGCUUUGAAUGUCAAAGUGAAGAAAUUCAACCAAGCGUGGGUAAACGGCGGGAGUAACUAUGACUUUCCUAAGGUAGCCAAAUGCCUCGUCAUCUAAUUAGUGACGCGCAUGAAUGGAUUAACAAGAUUCCCAUUGUCCCUGUCUACUAUCUAGCGAAACCACAGCCAAAGGAAUGGGCUUGGCGAAAUUAACGGGGAAAGAAGAACCUGUUGAGCUUGACUCUAGUCUGACUUUGUGAAAUGACUUGAGACAUGUAGGAUAAGUGGGAGCCCCAGGAGAAAUUGAAAUACCACUUACUUUUAACAUUAUUUUACUUAUUCCCUGAAUCGGAGGCGGGGCACGACCCUUUCUUUUGGACCCAAGGUCGACCUCGAUCGGUCAAUCCGGGCGGAAGACAUUGUCAGGUGGGGAGUUUGGCUGGGGUGGCACAUCUGUUAAAAGAUAACGCAAGUGUCCUAAGAUGAGCUCAACGAGAACAGAAAAUCUCGUGUGGAACAAAAGGGUAAAAGCUCGUUUGAUUCUGAUUUCCAGUACGAAUACAAACUGUGAAAGUAUGGCCUAUCGAUCCUUUAGACCUUCGGGAUUUGAAGCUAGAGGUGUCAGAAAAGUUACCACAGGGAUAACUGGCUUGUGGCAGCCAAGCGUUCAUAGCGACGUUACUUUUUGAUCCUUCGAUGUCGGCUCUUCCUAUCAUUGUGAAGCAGAAUUCACCAAGUGUUGGAUUGUUCACCCACCAAUAGGGAACGUGAGCUAGGUUUAGACCGUCAUGAGACAGGUUAGUUUUACCCUACUGAUGGCGGUGUCACAAUAGUAAUUCAACCUAGUACGAGAAGAACCGUUGAUUCAGACAAUUGGUUAUCGCGCUUGGUUGAAAAGCCAGUGGCGCGAAGCUACUGUGCGUUGGAUUAUGACUGAAUGCCUCUAAGUCAAAAUCCGGGCUAGAAGCGAUCCGCGCACCCGUCGCCCGAUUGUUGACCCGCAGUAGGGGCCCAUGGCCCCCAAAGGCACGUGUCGUAGGUGUAGCCCCCACGGUGGACGAGCCACGUGAGCCUCCUUAGAGCUCAAUUCCCACCGAACGGUAGGUAGAAUC
Molecule: ribosomal RNA, 3275 nt
Filed under: Durio zibethinus
Lineage: Eukaryota; Viridiplantae; Streptophyta; Magnoliopsida; Malvales; Malvaceae
Description: eukaryotic LSU rRNA
Rfam family: Eukaryotic large subunit ribosomal RNA
Source: RNAcentral